AGACACCCGCCGGAGACUGAGGGGAAGGAGAGGCACAGGCUGCGCUCUCCUUCCCUCACACAGGACGGCAGCGGCCAGCGGCAGCGUAUAUACAGUACCCAAGAGGAAACGCAAAGUCACCAAAGUGGAGCUUGCUGCACGGGCAAUGACCAAGGUGCUGGUUGAAGAACUGCACAACAUGGACAACAACAUGCAGCAACAGGACUAUGCCCAACAACUCCGUUUUAUAGAGGUGGAAAGAGAGCUGCAGCAAUCCUUCAUAAUGCAGAUAAUGGGACACCAAGACCGGCAAUUUCAGUUCCUGGAACGUAUCUUGCCUCGCAUUCAGGGUACCCAUAUGUACCCAGCUAUCCAGGCCCCUCCUGUCCCCGAGCACAGUUGUCCCCCGUAUUCUAGAGGUCCCUACUAUGACCCCCCUAUCCCUAAUCCAUCAUCUCCAGAUUACAAAGUAUAUAGGCAAUUGCCAUAGGCAGUCUUUGCCUUGGACUGUGUAUUUAACUUUGAUAGUUUUGGGCUGUUAUAAGGUCACAAUUUUCAUGUGUGUUGGGGGGGAGGGUUGUGUUUUAUAUCAAUAUGUUUGCCUUGUGUUUCCCACAUGUUAUCAUUUUAUGCUAAGUUUUACUCUAUAUAUGCCUGUGCAUUUAGCAGGGUAGCUUUGUACAAUUGAAAACAAAGGAUAAAACAGUGCAAACUUUU
Pseudophryne corroboree (corroboree frog) is the source of this 696-nucleotide long non-coding RNA. RefSeq lists it as uncharacterized. NCBI's taxonomy places the organism in Eukaryota, Metazoa, Chordata, Amphibia, Anura, Myobatrachidae. The transcript is spliced from 2 exons. The record is from RefSeq and is a predicted model, not a curated record.